RNAcentral lists this ribosomal RNA (301 nucleotides) under uncultured bacterium. Its description in RNAcentral is "partial 16S ribosomal RNA". It matches the Rfam family "Bacterial small subunit ribosomal RNA", at positions 509 to 807 of the family's 1533-position model. The record is from RNAcentral.
CAGUAGCCGCGGUAAUGCAGAGGGUGCAAGCGUUAAUCGGAGUUACUGGGCGUAAAGGGCGCGUAGGCGGUUAUAUAAGUGAGAUGUGAAAUCCCUGGGCUUAACCUAGGAACUGCAUCUUAUACUGUAUGGCUAGAGUAUUGUAGAGGGUAGUGGAAUUUCCGGUGUAGCGGUGAAAUGCGUAGAGAUCGGAAGGAACACCAGUGGCGAAGGCGGCUACCUGGACAAAUACUGACGCUGAGGCGCGAAAGCGUGGGGAGCAAACAGGAUUAGAUACCCCAGUAGUCCCUGUCUCUUAUAC